Molecule: ribosomal RNA, 497 nt
Filed under: uncultured bacterium
Lineage: Bacteria
Description: partial 16S ribosomal RNA
Rfam family: Bacterial small subunit ribosomal RNA
Source: RNAcentral
GAUGAACGCUGGCGGCGUGCCUAAUACAUGCAAGUCGAGCGAACGGACGAGAAGCUUGCUUCUCUGAUGUUGGCGGCGGACGGGUGAGUAACACGUGGAUAACCUACCUAUAAGACUGGGAUAACUUCGGGAAACCGUAGCUAAUACCGGAUAAUAUUUUGAACCGCAUGGUUCAAAAGUGAAAGACGGUCUUGCUGUCACUUAUAGAUGGAUCCGCGCUGCAUUAGCUAGUUGGUACGGUAACGGCUUACCAAGGCAACGAUGCAUAGCCGACCUGAGAGGCUGAUCGGCCACACUGGAACUGAGACACGGUCCAGACUCCUACGGGAGGCAGCAGUAGGGAAUCUUCCGCAAAGGGCGAAAGCCUGACGGAGCAACGCCGCGUGAGUGAUGAAGGUCUUCGGAUCGUAAAACUCUGUUAUUAGGGAAGAACAUAUGUGUAAGUAACUGUGCACAUCUUGACGGUACCUAAUCAGAAAGCCACGGCUAACUACGUG